AUCCCAUUAAUGGCUUGUCUUUUCAUUGAAACGUCAUAGUUCUUGAACGUAGAACCCUUCAAAUCUCAUAAAAUCUUCUAGGCUUUUGCUACACGUUUCCAAAUGACCAUUUUUUUUCAUCAGUCUGGAGCCCCUGGCUGUAUCCUUUCCAUCGCUCGUCGAACAUGCUCUAGAACACCUCCCUCCAGUUCUUGAAUCUCCAGUUAUUUCGCAUACACUAAGACCCAUUAAUAUCCCUAACCUUAUUGCUUGUACUCCCGCAUGCGCUUCCACUGCAAACGAUGAAGCAACAUUAGAGUAGAUGACCGAUUUCGAUGCCAAAAUAUCCCCUCGCAUGUCUCGAACUAUCAGCCCCGAGGCAGAUCAGGAAAAUUGUUGGUCAAAAGCCACAUUGAAAGAAAUGACUACGCUCGUCCUUCGAUCUUCAUGACUAAAAACCAUUUCUGUAUCAGAGAUAAGUAGUUUCUCUUCUAAUCCUUGCAACUUUGAUAUAUAACUGAUUAUUGUCUUGAGAUCUCUCACUUGUUCUGUUUUUACUUUCAUAUAACAACUGGUUCCUGUUUGACCAGAUAGGCCAAAGCCUACGGCAAAAUAAUCUACACUGUUCAUUUGUUCCCCGAUUGAAAACCCAGGACACAUUUGGAAAAAAUGAUUACUAUCCUCCUCAAGCUGCCGACAUCUGGUACACCAACUUCAUUCAUAACUCUCUUCAGUUUAAGAUUAGCAAACGUAAGAUUAUAAUUCCAGGAAAUUUUCCAGAUUGUAACUUUAAUUUUCAAAAGGAUGUGUAAAUUUCAUAAUUUUCUGUAGAAAGCUUCAUUUUCAGCCUGUAUAAUAUUAUUAUUAGGAAUCAGAGUAGUCUUUGUAAUAGUUUAUAGGCGCUUCUAACAGAAAAAUUCCCUGAUGGUUCUCCACCCCAAACUUGGAAAUCAUCAUGUACAGACUUCACCAAUUGGAUCAGUAGAAUUUUUUUUGCAAUAUCCGCAUUAAAUGAAUUAAAAAUUAGAUCUACUUUCCAUGUUCUACUUUCUUCUUCAAUCAAAUCUGAAACUAACUCAAUAUCUGCGUUUCCUCUGUGAUGCUGCAACUUUUCCUCUUCGUAACCCAGUAUCCAAAAAUCGGCCCAGAUGGAAAUACGAUCCCCCUUGCCAAUAUUCCAACACAAGCAUUUUUCUAGAACUCAUCUAGCUGACUAGAUACUCUUCCAAGUAAAUGAAGUGGACAGUGGUCAGAGAAGGAAUGGGACAGAUGCCGAAUUUGAUAAUUUGGGAAUAAAGAUAACCAGUCAUCAGUAGCUACACCUCUAUCUAAACGUUCUUGGAUAUUAGUCUCUGGCUCGUGUGUAUGUACUAUUUUUUUUAUGAAAGAAGAAUUAAUUUAUUUUUGCAA
Gossypium arboreum is the source of this 1389-nucleotide long non-coding RNA. RefSeq lists it as uncharacterized. NCBI's taxonomy places the organism in Eukaryota, Viridiplantae, Streptophyta, Magnoliopsida, Malvales, Malvaceae. The transcript has 4 exons. The record is from RefSeq and is a predicted model, not a curated record.